UACAGAGAGGUGACAUUGGAGAGAACAAUUGCUAGGUUGUUUGGUCACAUUUGCUGGUAUGAAUGAAGCUUAAGAAAAGCUGUCUUUGGAUUGCUACUAAUAGUCAUCUUCAACAUGCCUGCUCUCUCUCUCUCUCUCUCUCUUUCUCGGUUCCCUUAUGAAAUAAGGGCACACUGGUAAUAAACAAAGCACUAUAAAAGAUCAGAUUGACGUAUUCCGUGGGCUCAUUCAAUGUCGGGAGCGAGGCUUCUGCACACCAUCGCUGGUGCUUUCGGCUCCAAAAGCCGGGCCGGGACGGACAGACGGUGGUGGGAUGAGGCUAGACCCCCUUCUCCCUUUCUGGAACCUUGCCGAAUCCAUCAGGGCCGUGUCCCUGGUCAGCUAACCCACACCUGACGGCUAAGGGACACAGGAAAAGAUGGCAGGGUAGAGACCCUUGGAUUUGCUCCUUUGGAUUUUGGAUUUUGACCUGAGUUCCUUUGUCAGUCCUCAUGCCAGACCCAGUGGUCAAAGAAGGUGGAGACUCAACGGCUGUUUCUUUUUCCUUCAUUUUUCAAACAAAGAAGCUUCAUGAGAACAUUAAGCCCCAAAGAGAAUUGUGUUCAUUGCAAGACUUGUCAAGGAUCGGUGGAGAGAUUUAUAUAAACAAAUCAUUCAGUUCUUCCUUUGGUGACCUUGGUCCUGAGAGUGAAUGCGAUGGUCCUACAGCUUUUUGGCCCUUCAUCAGUACAGAAGCUGCAGUCUGUGCUCAGCAAGACCUCACCAAAUGCAGGAAAAUUAAAGAGAGAAAUGGUCCAUGGCGUAUUCUUACCCACCAUAAAUUGGCGUCAUUUUGGCCACCAUCCAGGGGAGAGAAACCAGCCUCCUGAAACAGAGAAAAAAGAUCAGAAGCUGCUGUAAGGAAGGGAGAUGCAACUUUCCUGGGAAAGAAUUAUCCUUUGCUCCAUUGCUCAGUCAUUCAACAAACACCACCCAGGACAUACAUCGAGUGGAAUAAGGCCUAACGCUGUCUUUCAGAGGCAGCUUUUAGGGUCAGCCUUCACAAACAGUGGCUCAACAUCUCUACAGUGUCAGCCCAGCCCCAGGCUUCUGCCUCGACCAACCCAUGAUGACCAGGCAUGUGACCUGUCCCCAGCCGGCCGGGACACGCUGCUCCUGCCAUUAUUUC
This is a long non-coding RNA of Felis catus (domestic cat), 1168 nucleotides long. RefSeq lists it as uncharacterized. The transcript is spliced from 4 exons. Lineage: Eukaryota; Metazoa; Chordata; Mammalia; Carnivora; Felidae. The record is from RefSeq and is a predicted model, not a curated record.